RNAcentral lists this ribosomal RNA (245 nucleotides) under uncultured bacterium. Its description in RNAcentral is "partial small subunit ribosomal RNA". It matches the Rfam family "Bacterial small subunit ribosomal RNA", at positions 26 to 285 of the family's 1533-position model. The record is from RNAcentral.
AGAAUCAACGCUGGCGGCGUGCCUAACACAUGCAAGUCGCACGAGAAAGGGACUUCGGUCCUGAGUACAGUGGCGCACGGGUGAGUAACACGUGAAUUAUCUACCUCCGAGUGGGGAAUAACUGAGAGAAAUCUUAGCUAAUACCGCAUAACACUUACGAGUCAAAGCAGCAAUGCGCUUGGAGAGGAGUUCGCGGCAGAUUAGUUAGUUGGCGGGGUAAUGGCCCACCAAGACGAUGAUCGGUA